Molecule: transfer RNA, 72 nt
Filed under: Loxodonta africana (African savanna elephant)
Lineage: Eukaryota; Metazoa; Chordata; Mammalia; Proboscidea; Elephantidae
Rfam family: tRNA
About the family: Transfer RNA (tRNA) molecules are approximately 80 nucleotides in length. Their secondary structure includes four short double-helical elements and three loops (D, anti-codon, and T loops).
Source: Rfam by way of RNAcentral
GCACUGGUUGUUCAGUUGUAGAAUCCUUGCCUUCCAUGUAAGGAGACCCAGGUUCAAUUCCCGACCAAUGUG